AUGAGUUGGGUAGCACCGUCCAAGAAGCUUCGCACCGCCGCCACCAUGGCACGUCGCCGUCGUAACUGCAAGGCUGAGGACUACCGACAGACCGCACGACAGGGAGAAACGCCGCCCACCAAACACCUUUUGAGGAACCACAGCCACCACACCUCCCGGCAAGGAUCAGACCGCCAAUGGAGGCUAUCACCUACUCCAAGUGACAACCUUGGCGACGACCCAACACCUAGCCAUCCCAUGUCCGCACCACCGAGAGAGCACCGCCGCUCACCACACAACCCAGAGGUGGCCCGGACGCCCGCUGCUCGCCAGGAACUCCAUCCUAGCCGAGCCCUCACAGCGCCGCCAUCAACCUGGACGGUGGUUCACGCCUUCGCUUCCGGUAUGCGCAACCGCCUCCAGUCCGCCUCACCAUAUCGCUGCAGUCCCCACCAAGACCGCCUCAUCUCCAUGCCUCCUGUCUGUGCUCCGCCGACGACCACCACCACACUGAGCCCCCAUCGCAACCGCCAACACCACCACCGUGCCCAACAGCCAUGGAGGCUCGGCGUCACCACGCCUGCCGGCAGCAACGCCCGAGCCCCGGUCGUCCAGAUCCAGAUCCAGAACCAAAAAGGGCGGGACCGGGACGGGACCGAGCCCUCAGGCCGUCGCAACCGCAGGCAGCACCGCCGGACAGGGCGCACACCACCCCCACAGCCACUGCGCCGAGCCGCCGCUGGGCCUUCGCAGCACCACGCCGCCAAACGCCACCGUCGACUGAGCAUCGCGCCAUGGCCAUGGAGUGGGGGGCCGCACCGAGGAGAGGCCCUGCCGCCACCUGCCCUGCCGGGGCUUUGCCCGGCAGCGGCGCACGACAGCGGCGAGGGGGAGGGAAGGGAUGUGGGGUGGCUGCCGGCGGCGAGUCAGGGGUUCCCCCCAUGUCGCCUCGAGGAGGGACGCGGGGGUCGGGAGGGUCCGUGCUUUACCGAGUAG
Molecule: ribosomal RNA, 975 nt
Filed under: Triticum aestivum (bread wheat)
Lineage: Eukaryota; Viridiplantae; Streptophyta; Magnoliopsida; Poales; Poaceae
Description: partial small subunit ribosomal RNA
Source: RNAcentral